UGAGAGGAUGACCAGUCACAAAUGGAACUGAGACACGGUCCAGACUCCUACGGGAGGCAGCAGUGAGGAAUAUUGGACAAGGGAGGCAAACUUUGAUCCAGCCAUGCCGCGUGCAGGAAAGACGGCCCUAUGGGUUGUAAAACUGCUUUUAUACAGGAAGAAACCCAACCACGUGUGGUUGGCUGACGGUACUGUAUGAAUAAGCACCGGCUAACUCCGUGCCAGCAGCCGCGGUAAUACGGAGGGUGCAAGCGUUAUCCGGAAUCAUUGGGUUUAAAGGGUCCGUAGGCGGGUAAUUAAGUCAGAGGUGAAUCCCACAGCUUAACUGUGGAACUGCCUUAGAUACUGGUUAUCUUGAGUUUUAGUGAAGUAGAUAGAAUGUGUAGUGUAGCGGUGAAAUGCAUAGAUAUUACAGGAGUACCGAUUGCGAAGGCAUCUACUAACUAACAACUGACGCUAAGGACGAAAGCGUGAGAGCGAACGGGAUUAGAUACCCUGGUAGUCCA
This 506-nucleotide ribosomal RNA is filed under the name uncultured bacterium. Its description in RNAcentral is "bacterial SSU rRNA". It matches the Rfam family "Bacterial small subunit ribosomal RNA", at positions 293 to 797 of the family's 1533-position model. The record is from RNAcentral.